GAUGAACGCUGGCGGCGUGCCUAAUACAUGCAAGUCGAGCGAACGGACGAGAAGCUUGCUUCUCUGAUGUUAGCGGCGGACGGGUGAGUAACACGUGGAUAACCUACCUAUAAGACUGGGAUAACUUCGGGAAACCGGAGCUAAUACCGGAUAAUAUUUUGAACCGCAUGGUUCAAAAGUGAAAGACGGUCUUGCUGUCACUUAUAGAUGGAUCCGCGCUGCAUUAGCUAGUUGGUAAGGUAACGGCUUACCAAGGCAACGAUGCAUAGCCGACCUGAGAGGGUGAUCGGCCACACUGGAACUGAGACACGGUCCAGACUCCUACGGGAGGCAGCAGUAGGGAAUCUUCCGCAAUGGGCGAAAGCCUGACGGAGCAACGCCGCGUGAGUGAUGAAGGUCUUCGGAUCGUAAAACUCUGUUAUUAGGGAGGAACAAAUGUGUAAGUAACUAUGCACGUCUUGACGGUACCUAAUCAGAAAGCCACGGCUAACUACGUG
This 497-nucleotide ribosomal RNA is filed under the name uncultured bacterium. Its description in RNAcentral is "partial 16S ribosomal RNA". It matches the Rfam family "Bacterial small subunit ribosomal RNA", at positions 28 to 507 of the family's 1533-position model. The record is from RNAcentral.